Long non-coding RNA from Vespa mandarinia (Asian giant hornet), 2311 nucleotides. RefSeq lists it as uncharacterized. Lineage: Eukaryota; Metazoa; Arthropoda; Insecta; Hymenoptera; Vespidae. The record is from RefSeq and is a predicted model, not a curated record.
GCACGACUCAGUAUAACAAAAACAUUGGUUAGUUUAUAUCAAGAGAUCUCAGCGAUCGAACCGCAGACGAAGACAACCAAAAGAUUAACUUAAGAAUAAGAAGAAGAAGAAGAGAAUAAUUGGCUUUAAAUCAUUACACAGUAAAUUCUAUAGAACUUAGAUCCUUAUAAGGAAUUUCUUGCACUCGUGUUCACAUAGGCAGGGGGUAGUGUUUACGGUCAUUUCAUCGGCCGCUAAGAGCAGCAUAAAGCGACUACGGCAAUUUCAGAGCAGCUUGGACAAAGACUAAUGAAGACUGUUGUACAUACCAAUACCAAAACUUUUUCUCUCUCUCUCUUUCUCUCUCUCUCUCUCUUUCUCUCUCUCUCUCUAUCUCUCUCUGUCUCUUUCUUUCUCUCUAUCUCUCUCUAAUGUGUACGCUCUGAUUCUAUCUCGUACACGUUAAUCACAUCAAUCUAUAUACUGAACAUUGUAUUGGCAACGAAAAUCUUGCUUGACCAUGGAUAAUAGUCCGUUUAGUCUUGCUUUGUUGACAUCUCUCUUAUUCUCCUUUUCUCUUGCUAUCUCUCUCUUUUUGUCUCUCUUGCUCUCUUUAUCCUUCUCUAUCUCCGUUACCGUAUCCGUUUAUCUCUUAUUCACUAUACUAAUACCUAUCUCUCUCUCUGUCAUUCUCUUAUUCAUUCUCUUAAUCGCUACCAUUAUCCCAUCCUCUUUGUAUUUCUCUCUUUCUUUAUCUUUCUUAAUUUCCAUCUUAAUACCUUUCUUUCUAUCUUUCUCUUUCUUUUGUUAUUUCCUAUGUUAUUUCUUACUAUCCGUACCCUUUUCUCUAUCAAUUUCUCUCUUUCUAUCUCUUUUGCUCUCUUGCACCAUAUCACCAUCUAUUUUUCUAUCUUUACAUUUACUUUUUCGCGAGUAAACGAAAAGGAAAAUCGAGAAUCGACCCAAGGAAAGAAAGUAUUUUCGAGAGAGAGAGAGGCGGGGGGGAAUGAUUUCAGAGAAGCUUUUCGUGAUUUUUUAAUGGUAAAGUAAGACAUUUUCGAAUAUCUCAUAUCAGAAGUUGCUCGCGACUGAUACGCGUAUGAUGUUACGUAUUCCAUCUAUUAGUGUCGUUCUUAUGGAGAGAGAGAGAGAGAGAGAGAGAGAGAGAGAGAGAGAGAGAGAAAGUAAUUUUGUUUUGUCACGUUAAGGGUGGUUCAAUUUAUCAAUCAUCAAGUUGUAUUAUAUAAGAAGGAAAUGAUUUGAGAAGAUGAGAAGAGAGAAGACAGAUUGAUCUACUGUAGAUACGAUAUUAUAGAUAAUAAAUCAGAUUAAUGUUUCGUUAUGUGAUUAAUGUAAUGCUCAUCUAAUUUAUCGAACAUUGAAGCAAUAUCGACGCAUAAUCGUUCAAUCCAUUUUUUAUAAUAUCUUAUAUUUAACAAAAAGAUAUCAUGUUUGUGGAAAUUUUUAUUAUACUCAUUGUCUUUGAUAAAUGUAUAAACAAAUAUGUGAAUAUGUCUGUUAUUAAAAGAAUAAGUGUAAUAGAUUGGAUUUUUUAAAUAGAGGAAAACCAUUGAAAGCGGAAAAGUGGUCGAUCAAAAAUAGCGACAGCAUAUAUAGAAGUGACAAGCCAUUUGUAUGUGAUAAUGAACUAACUGAUGAGAAAGAGAGAAAAAGAAAGAGAAAAAAGAAAGAAAAAAGAUAGAUAGAUAGAUAGAUAGAUAGAUAGAUAAAUAGAUAGAUAAAUAGAUAGAUAGAGAGCAAGAGAGAGGGAAUAUGAAUAAUUAAAAGGAGGAUGGAUACGCAUCUGAGUCGUGAAAAGUGUUGCUCAAGCAAAUACGGAUUUUACGUAGAGAUCGUUGUUACUACGACGUUGUUACUACGACGUUGUUACUACGAUGUUGUUACUACGACGAUAUAUGGGGUGAAAAUAAAGGAGAAAAAGAGAGAGAAAGAAAAAAGGAAUCUCUUGGAUUGUGUCUGUGUACAUAUUUUCAUAAGCGUGAAGAGUGAAAAGUGUGGAUGAUUUUUUCGUCGGAACGAUGAUCCGUCGACGACAUCCAACGAAUCUUAUUUUGCUUCAAAAAGUUAAGAAUCUUUAAAUAGCCUGAAAUAAGAAUACUCUUAUUCUUAGCUCUUUCAUUGUUGUAUCCUUAAGGAAGAGAAAAGGAAGAAGAAAAAAUGAUAAAGAAAAAAAGAGAGAAAAAAAAGAAAAGAAGAAGGAACUUUUUGAAAUCGUUUUUUUUUCAAAAUUAGUUUCGUUAUUCUGAUGAAACUAGACGAAUAGAUCGAUUAGAAAAAAGUUUGAUCGAGGAACGAUCGAUUAACAUUAGAU